AGAGUUUGAUUAUGGCUCAGGAUGAACGCUGGCGGCGUGCUUAACACAUGCAAGUCGAACGGAGACUGUGGAGAAGCGGAAGGCUUGCCCGGAAGUGGAUUAGCAGUCUUAGUGGCGGACGGGUGAGUAACGCGUGGGUAACCUACCUCAUACAGGGGGAUAGCAGUUGGAAACGACUGAUAAAACCGCAUAAAACGGCAGCAGGGCAUCCUGCAACCGUCAAAUAUUUAUAGGUAUGAGAUGGGCCCGCGUCUGAUUAGCCAGUUGGUGGGGUAACGGCCCACCAAAGCAUCGAUCAGUAGCCGGCCUGAGAGGGUGAACGGCCACAUUGGGACUGAGACACGGCCCAAACUCCUACGGGAGGCAGCAGUGGGGAAUAUUGGACAAUGGGGGGAACCCUGAUCCAGCCGACGCCGCGUGAGUGAAGAAGUAUUUCGGUAUGUAAAGCUCUAUCAGCAGGGAAGAUGAUGACGGUACCUGACUAAGAAGCCCCGGCUAACUACGUGCCAGCAGCCGC
This 517-nucleotide ribosomal RNA is filed under the name uncultured bacterium. Its description in RNAcentral is "bacterial SSU rRNA". It matches the Rfam family "Bacterial small subunit ribosomal RNA", at positions 8 to 518 of the family's 1533-position model. The record is from RNAcentral.